Non-coding RNA from Podarcis lilfordi (Lilford's wall lizard), 176 nucleotides. The record is from the annotation of a GenBank genome assembly. NCBI's taxonomy places the organism in Eukaryota, Metazoa, Chordata, Lepidosauria, Squamata, Lacertidae.
UGGAACUAAUGUGAUUUGGAUCCUGAUUGCGGUGUACAUGAAUGCACAUGAAUGAAUUUUGUGUGCACAAUAAUGAAUAUGAAGGCAUUAUACUGGAACACUAUAGUGUGUGUGUGUGUGUGUGUGUGUGUGUGUGUGUGUGUGUGUGCUCAGUUGCAUAGGUACUCCCAAUCCAA